AGAGUUUGAUCCUGGCUCAGAACGAACGCUGGCGGCGGUCCAGACUCCUACGGGAGGCAGCAGUGGGGAAUAUUGCACAAUGGGCGAAAGCCUGAUGCAGCGACGCCGCGUGAGGGAUGACGGCCUUCGGGUUGUAAACCUCUUUCAGCAGGGAAGAAGCGAAAGUGGCGGUACCUGCAGAAGAAGCGCCGGCUAACUACGUGCCAGCAGCCGCGGUAAUACGUAGGGCGCAAGCGUUGUCCGGAAUUAUUGGGCGUAAAGAGCUCGUAGGCGGCUUGUCACGUCGAUUGUGAAAGCCCGAGGCUUAACCUCGGGUCUGCAGUCGAUACGGGCUAGCUAGAGUGUGGUAGGGGAGAUCGAAAUUCCUGGUGUAGCGGUGAAAUGCGCAGAUAUCAGGAGGAACACCGGUGGCGAAGGCGGAUCUCUGGGCCAUUACUGACGCUGAGGGGCGAAAGCGUGGGGAGCGAACAGGAUUAGGUACCCUGGUAGUCCACGCCGUAAACGGUGGGAACUAGGUGUUGGCGACAUUCCACGUCGUCGGUGCCGCAGCUAACGCAUUAAGUUCCCCGCCUGGGGAGUACGGCCGCAAGGCUAAAACUCAAAGGAAUUGACGGGGGUCCGCACAAGCGGCGGAGCAUGUGGCUUAAUUCGACGCAACGCGAAGAACCUUACCAAGGCUUGACAUACACCGGAAAGCAUUAGAGAUAGUGCCCCCCUUGUGGUCGGUGUACAGGUGGUGCAUGGCUGUCGUCAGCUCGUGUCGUGAGAUGUUGGGUUAAGUCCCGCAACGAGCGCAACCCUUGUCCCGUGUUGCCAGCAGGCCCUUGUGGUGCUGGGGACUCACGGGAGACCGCCGGGGUCAACUCGGAGGAAGGUGGGGACGACGUCAAGUCAUCAUGCCCCUUAUGUCUUGGGCUGCACACGUGCUACAAUGGCCGGUACAAUGAGCUGCGAUACCGUGAGGUGGAGCGAAUCUCAAAAAGCCGGUCUCAGUUCGGAUUGGGGUCUGCAACUCGACCCCAUGAAGUCGGAGUCGCUAGUAAUCGCAGAUCAGCAUUGCUGCGGUGAAUACGUUCCCGGGCCUUGUACACACCGCCCGUCACGUCACGAAAGUCGGUAACACCCGAAGCCGGUGGCCCAACCCUUGUGGAGGGAGCUGUCGAAGGUGGGACUGGCGAUUGGGACGAAGUCGUAACAAGGUAACCGU
This 1207-nucleotide ribosomal RNA is filed under the name uncultured Actinomycetales bacterium. RNAcentral describes it as "bacterial SSU rRNA". It matches the Rfam family "Bacterial small subunit ribosomal RNA". Lineage: Bacteria; Bacillati; Actinomycetota; Actinomycetes; Actinomycetales. The record is from RNAcentral.